This 468-nucleotide ribosomal RNA is filed under the name uncultured bacterium. RNAcentral's name for it is "partial 16S ribosomal RNA". It matches the Rfam family "Bacterial small subunit ribosomal RNA", at positions 28 to 507 of the family's 1533-position model. The record is from RNAcentral.
GAUGAACGCUGGCGGCGUGCUUAACACAUGCAAGUCGAACGGAAAGGCCCAAGCUUGCUUGGGUACUCGAGUGGCGAACGGGUGAGUAACACGUGGGUGAUCUGCCCUGCACUUCGGGAUAAGCCUGGGAAACUGGGUCUAAUACCGGAUAGGACGAUGGUUUGGAUGCCAUUGUGGAAAGUUUUUUCGGUGUGGGAUGAGCUCGCGGCCUAUCAGCUUGUUGGUGGGGUAAUGGCCUACCAAGGCGUCGACGGGUAGCCGGCCUGUGAGGGUGUACGGCCACAUUGGGGCAGAGAUACGGCCCAGACACCUACGGGGGGCAGAAGUGGGGAAUAUUGCACAAUGGGCGCAAGCCUGAGGCAGCGACGCCGCGUGGGGGGUGACGGCGUUCGGGUUGUAAACUCCUUUCGCUAGGGACGAAGCGUUUUUGUGACGGUACCUGGAGAAGAAGCACCGGCUAACUACGUG